UUGACGUAUGAGACGAUGCACACUUUUGAGCGUUUUGCAGGCAACGUCCAAGUACUGACAGUGUACUGCAGUGUACUUCUACUUAGCACUCAAAAGUGUAAGUACGCUAGCGCGCAAACAAUACAAUAUCUUGUCGUGGUCUGUGGUGCGCACACGCUUAUACCCUCCUGCCAUGACAUGGGUAAAAAGUCACAAGAAGACUAUCGUGGCCGUGCCUUGUUGUCUCGCUCUAUUUUUGAGAACUGGAUGGUUCCUCCGAGGGUGCAGAUGGGCAGACCAGCAGCUCUCCAGGGCAUCCUCCCGCGGCAGCCACAUUCUCCUCUGCCCGCAGACACAACUCCUGCAGGAAGUUAGCUGUCUCCAUCACCAGCUACGUGGUCGCGUGGUUAUGCGCGGGUCGUUCUCCCAAGAUGCAGCAGGAAACUCCGGAGGCAAGGUGCAGUUUUUUACAGCUGGAAUGGACCACAAAGAAUCGCCUGACCCUCAUGAAUUCAUCAUUUACAGAGAAGAC
Entelurus aequoreus (snake pipefish) is the source of this 511-nucleotide long non-coding RNA. RefSeq lists it as uncharacterized. The transcript is spliced from 3 exons. NCBI's taxonomy places the organism in Eukaryota, Metazoa, Chordata, Actinopteri, Syngnathiformes, Syngnathidae. The record is from RefSeq and is a predicted model, not a curated record.